RNAcentral lists this ribosomal RNA (599 nucleotides) under Luidia lawrencei. Its description in RNAcentral is "partial large subunit ribosomal RNA". It matches the Rfam family "Bacterial large subunit ribosomal RNA", at positions 1816 to 2595 of the family's 2925-position model. The record is from RNAcentral. Lineage: Eukaryota; Metazoa; Echinodermata; Asteroidea; Paxillosida; Luidiidae.
CGCCCCUUGAAAAGAACCUUAAUCUAAGAUAUAAGGGGUACUGCCUGCCCAGUGACGUAGAAGUUAAACGGCCGCGGUAUUUUGACCGUGCAAAGGUAGCAUAAUCAUUUGCCUUUUAAAUGGAGGCUGGAAUGAAUGGCAAGACGGGAAUUUAACUGUCUCUUUCUUAAAGACCCUGAAAUUAAUAUUCUAGUGAAGAAGCUAGAAUAGAAUCGUGGGACGAGAAGACCCUGUUGAGCUUUAGCAGAUAAAGUAGUCGUAAUAUUUUUGUUUGAGGCUAAUUAUUAAGAAUUAAUUCUUAGACUAAAAGUUUACCUUGAAAAAAAAGAAUGUUGUAUUUUAUUUUGUUUUGGUUGGGGCAACUGCGGAGAACAAUAAUCCUCCGCUUUAUAAAGUAUAAAAGUACGUUUUUUACUAAUAAAAGUUUUUUACAAGUGAUCCACUGUAAAGUGAUCAAAGGAAUAAGUUACCACAGGGAUAACAGCGUAAUUUUUUUGGAGAGUUCAUAUUGAUAAAAAAGUUUGCGACCUCGAUGUUGGAUCGAGACUUCCUGGAGGUGCAGCAGCUUCCAAGGGUUGGUCUGUUCGACCAUUAAAGUC